GUUGCCCUUUUCUUGUGGCAACAGGUCACAAAUCUUGCUGCUCUCUCUCUCUCUCUCUCUCUCAGGAGUGCACAGAUGGUUAUGAGUGGGCUGUUCAGAGUCAGCACUGUAAAGAAGGCUGCCGGUGGGAGAUGAAGUGUUUUAACCACUAUAGUGGCUACCUGUGUCUCCCACGCUCUGCCUCUGUCAUCACCGCCCCUGAACCCUCCAGCCGGUCAGUGGCCACCCUGCCUGUGGAGUCCUUCGAGGCCUUGAGAUUGAGUCAUCUGUGGAUCUGUUGGGGCGGUAUGCAAAUUGGAGUGGGUCCAGGCUGUCUGAGAUGAUGGUGUGGAUGAAACGAACAACAUCAGUGUGAUGAUGGUCCAGGCCCAUGCUGUGACCGGCCACGAAGAGUACAACCUGGAGCUGGUGUGUGUCAACCCCCACAUGAUCUAUCAGACCAGCUCUGCCCUACGACUGUCUGUCUUUGUAAAACCAUCUGAGGAGACAGAUGGAGCAAAGAGAAGGAAACGGAACUAGAGAGUGGGAGACAGAUGUGAGAUGAGAAUAACUGUUAAGGGCAUGAGAUGGGAACAUUUCUCAGACACAUUACUACUAUACAUGCAUCUUAAAGAAAUCUGCCCGGGGCAAAGCAAGUUGUAAAACCAUUCUUCCAUAAUUCUGUGAGUCACCACAAACACACAUGCUCAUGCACACGCAUGCAGACCAGUGGUGGCUGGUGACGCUUUAAAUCGGAGGACGGGCUCAUUUGUAAUGGCUGGAAUGGAAUAAAUGGAACAUAUCAAACACGUUUUAAUACUGAACGGUUUAUUCCGUGCCAGACAUUACUAUAUGUUGUCCUCGUUCGCCAGCCUCCUCUGACACACGCACGCAUGGUACACUGGCACACACUGGAAUUUAGCCUCUGCAGUGUGCAUCAUAUUUUCAAUAGUUUCUUGCUGCACAAAAGACUAGCCAAGAGGGUCCAUUAUCUUGUUACCAAGGCAACUGAUAAAAACAUCCAUUCAAAGCUACCUUUUCAACCCAUGUCACACUAUGUUAUUUUUCUCUCCAUCAGGGUCGUUCUCCUGCUCUCCUCUCAUCCUAACUGUUCUCCAGAUAGUUCACUCUAAACUGUAAAGAAUUAACAUUGCUUGUUCCUAUUCUGUAGUUUAAAAAAAAAAAAAUUACAACUUAUGGUUGUUUUGUCAUGUUACUAAAAUUAAAAGAGAUGAAACCAACAUUUGGAUGAAUGAUAUUCCUUUUAGUUGCUGUUCCUCUUCCACCUCCCUGCUCAUGUACACGCUUAACCUUUCUCUUACCUCUUCUGCUUAAUUAAGGCCCAAUAAUGGGUUCUCUUGCUGACCAUCUUUUCUCUCUUUCAUUCACUCUGUCACGUUGGCUUAUUUCCUUUUCAGUACAAACGCAGGUAAAUGCACUCUUUCAAAUCAAUUGACACUGCUAAUUACACUACAGUAUGUGCAGUUAACAUAGAUUAGCAUCUUACUUUAAAUUGCCAAAUGACCCUAACAACAGGUUUAAACGUCACCCUAGCUAUUUAUUUAAACAUGUUUUAAAUG
Non-coding RNA from Oncorhynchus mykiss (rainbow trout), 1559 nucleotides. The record is from RefSeq and is a predicted model, not a curated record. Lineage: Eukaryota; Metazoa; Chordata; Actinopteri; Salmoniformes; Salmonidae.